AUUGAACGCUGGCGGCAGGCCUAACACAUGCAAGUCGAGCGGAGCGGGGGAGGGGGGAGUAAGGCUCAGGAAUCUGCCUGGUAGUGGGGGAUAAGGUCCGGAACUGGGGGCUAAAACCGCAACCUACCAGAUGAGCCUAGGACGGAUUAGCAGGUUGGUGGGGUAAAGGCCUACCAUGGCGACGAUCCGUAACUGGUCUGAGAGGAUGAUCAGUCACACUGGAACUGAGACACGGUCCAGACUCCUACGGGAGGCAGCAGUGGGGAAUAUUGGACAAUGGGCGAAAGCCUGAUCCAGCCAUGCCGCGUGUGUGAAGAAGGUCUUCGGAUUGUAAAGCACUUUAAGUUGGGAGGCGUUACCAACAGAAUAAGCACCGGCUAACUUCGUGCCAGCAGCCGCGGUAAUUC
Molecule: ribosomal RNA, 407 nt
Filed under: uncultured bacterium
Lineage: Bacteria
Description: partial 16S ribosomal RNA
Rfam family: Bacterial small subunit ribosomal RNA
Source: RNAcentral